Long non-coding RNA from Harpia harpyja (harpy eagle), 3815 nucleotides. RefSeq lists it as uncharacterized. NCBI's taxonomy places the organism in Eukaryota, Metazoa, Chordata, Aves, Accipitriformes, Accipitridae. The transcript has 8 exons. The record is from RefSeq and is a predicted model, not a curated record.
GAAGUGAUAUUAGCAAUAUUAGAAAUCCAGCACUGUGGGCUGUGUAGCAGUAGAAUGUGAUAGAAACUGAAAGCGUGGAUGCGGUAGAAGAGGCUUUCAUUUCAACACAAAUAUCUUUGAUUCUUUGGAAAACCAUCAGAGAAAAAGAGGACAGUAUAUCAGAGGACAUUAUUGGCUGCAAGGACAGAAGCUUCAAGUUUAUUAGGCUGGGGUUGGAAAGGUCUUUGAGGAUCUAGCAACACGUUAAAUAUCAAAGUACAGUUUGGUCUAAGUGGAGGAAAAUACUGCUUGUCUUUGCUGCAGCUGGGGAGAUCCUGGCCAAGGAAAGGAAGUCCAGAAAUUUUCAAAGGUUGGGGAAGAAAGAAUUCCAUACUAAUAAGCCCAAAUUGAGUAACAAGAUAAACUCACUGGCCUUACCCUCAUCUUCAACCAUGGAGGCAGGACUAUUUCUUGCAGGAAUUUGUGGAUUUCAUCCUUGAUGAAUGGUGACAUCAUAACAACACAACUUCUUUUACCAUGCUGCUGAGCAAAAGGUGGUACAAAUUUUGAGUCACUGACCACUUCAAGAUGAAUCAUCUACCAACAGGGAACACUCCUCUGGACUUUGGUUACUCCAUCUGACACUUCUGCUUUUCUCAGAUUAAGUCUGUUUCCAGAUGUCCUCUGAAUAUUUGUAGUGACAAAAAGUGAAGCAUGAAGCAUGUGGAAAAAUGCCUCCUGUAGAAAUGGAAAAGGAGAGAAAGAUCCAACACAGAGAAGUUCUGGACAAUGAUACUUACUGAAGUUUCCCCACAAAAAGAGAAAUAUUAGAAAAUCAUGACCACCAAUUGCAAGGAACCCUACUGCUCUUCAGGACAUGUAGGACUCAGAAGCGGAAGAAACUUUUUAUUUUCCUCUGCCAAGACAACUGGGUCAGUGAGUGACGCAGGCAAAGUAUUGAAGAGACAGACAACCACAAGCUCAACCUAUGCACCUUGAUGCGGAAGUGGAAACACACUACCGGAAGUCUCAUCACAGACAGGAAGCUUCGAAAAUGGAAAAGCCAGUCCAGUGCUUCUUUCUUUCAUGCUGGGGUAGUGUGGUUUCUCUGUUUUCCAUGUAGAAAAUAAAAAUAAGAACUUUUUCCUACCUUAUUGCUAUGUUGAUCUUCAUUGGUUGUAAGAUCAUAAAGAAAGGUCUCAGAUGCUAUGGUAACAGUGGCUUAUAAGCCUGAGAAGUCACUAAAAAGACUUUAUCAUUGGAAUAAAAUGAAAAAUGUAUUUGCUUGUAGGGCCUACAAAAGUCAAAAGAAGGUAGAAAACCUGGAAGAUUGAUUUGCGCAAAACAAAUUGAACACAAGUGCAGCACGGAGGUAAAACAGUGUCAUGGUGACAUGCAAUGAAGACUUUCAUGGCUCAAAUAAGAGUAACUUUCAGAAUCACCUUAAAAACAGGAGUUACAGAGACCCUUCCCAUUGUGGUCAAGAAACCAUUUGCCAUACUUUGGCAAUGCGUGUUCUGUGGCUGUUACAUGUUUUACAGAAAAAAUAUUUAGAAAUAUUUCUUUCUUCAUUAUGUUUGCUACCACUUUUUGUGAUCAUUAACACCGACUCUUGUGUGUAAAAACUGAAUAUUCAGUGUGUGGGGCAAAAUAUAUAAUAAGCAUAUCUUAGAAAUCUAUGAAAUUAUCUAAAAAAGAGCUUCAGUCUUACUGUCAUAAUGCAAAGUCUCACUACCUCUUUACAGGUUAUAAAACAGAGGCCUCUUGUGCUUUUGGGAAGUUAGAUUUCUUGAAUUCCUAUUAUUGGAGGCUCAGUGAAGCAUCAUGUGCCAAAUAUUUCUCUAAUGCAAAGUUAAGCGUUGCUAGUUUAGGAUUGAAUCUUGGAGGGAAAAUUCCAUGUGUGAAAGCAAAGCACCUUAUUUUAUUUUAGACGCUGUAGUUGUCUGAAGCUAUUCAGAGGUUAUCCCAUAGCUUUGUCAAAUUUUCUAAAGUGUGUUUCUAAGCAAAUAAUGAAUCUGUUGUGUGCAUAUGCAUGAUUUUUUGUUCUAGCUAAAUAGUAGCACUGAAGUCCUGCCAUGUUUAUUUCUGGAUUUCCAAAUAAUCUGCCUGAAGUAGUGUUUUUCACCCACUCGCAAACUUCUGGCAUAAAGAGGAAGAGAACCAAAGGGCAGUAAAAGCUUUGCUUCUCUGGGCCUCUAGGUCUCCAUGAUUUAUUCCAAGAAGCUCCACAUGAAUUUCCCCGGAUGAAGUGAUAACAACAGGAGUUUUGCCAUUGUUCAAUGGGAUCAAGGCUUCGCACCAAACCACUGCCCAUAAUUCAAUUACAUGGUGUCAGCAACAGGAAAAAAAACGAGCCUUUUCUUCACAUAUGACUUGCCUGAAUCUUUGCUUUCUACUGGUUUGUAAAAUAAGUGAAAUAUGCAUGCCUGAGCAUCCAGCUGUUACUCUUGGCAAGCCUCCAGUAGCACAGGUUAUAGCAUCCCGAGGUUACAAAUUAACACCAUCAUACUGGGAAAGUGGUUGGUUUUUUGUUUUGCUUUGUUUUUUCAUUCCAAGUUUCUGCAAGUGUAGCACAGCAUAAAGCUACGUGUUUGCUCUCCCCUGGAUGGCAGGACUGACCUUCAACCAAAUAUUUAAGGAACUCUGCAGAGCCUGACGUGCUCCACGCUGCAUGAUUCAAUGGGAAGGAAGCCUACCUCUACAGGAGGUCAUCGAGAAAGUAAGAUAAAGCAGCACUCUGAAAGGAACAGCAGCAGGACAUGGCUCAAAAUAUUAUCAAAGGAAGAAAACUGUUUUCUUAAAGGGCAGCAGUCUCCAUUGCAGAGGAUUUGAGACACCUUGAGCCUCCCAAUGCUCCUUCAAACUCUUCUGCUCUAACAUUGCAGCAGCUACUUUGGAUAUUUAUUGAAAUUUUGAAUGAAGGCAUGAGUGACAGAAAAGAGGGGAGUGGAGCUGAGGGGAGCAGCAUAACCCUCCGUAUGGUCGGUGACCAGCCAGCCUUCCUCUGGCUCUGCACAGCUGUGAGGGCCUCUUCAGGUCCACAUCUCUAGGACAGUAGUUGCUGGGUAGGAUUAUUGCACCAAUUUAAUUAGAUGUUUAUGCAACAGCUCUAUACCAGCUGUCAAUUCUAGAAAUCCACUCGCUGAACAUAAGGGAAGGUGGUUCUUUUCCCUAUUGUUAAAAACCCUAUAUAGUUCUAUGUUAGAUUCACCUCCAUAAAACGUUCAAAAGACUUGAGGAAGCGUAGCAUUAUCUUUUGUAUUACUUCUUUUUUAGUACAGCUACACAUAGAUCUCAUAUAUGCAUGUAUACACACAAAUGUUUAUACACAUAUGCACAUGUACUCUCACAUAAGUGAACCCAAAUUUUUAAUAGAUUUUAAUGGGUAAAUAAUGCCAUUAAUAUUAAAAAAAUUCAUAAAAUGUCUUGUUUAACAGUAAAUUUUGAUAAUCAUACACACAUACUGUCAUAUAAUAUUGCAGUGUGUUUUAAAUACUGUUUGAAUGCUCUAUGAUUAUAAUAAUCAAAUAUAUAACAUCAAGACUGUCUGAAGGCAAAGGAAUGUCAGAAGAAAUACAUGAUGAGAAUAAAAAUUACAUAAAAGUAGCCUUCUAAGUAAGUAACAGUCAGGCAUGGCACUGGCAAAUGUCAAAACAAGUAAUGAUUAUCAUGUGGAAAUUCAUAUCUGAAUGACAUUAUACAGUAACUAUGCCAUGAACCUUGUACCUUGUCUGAAUGUUAUAUAAUCUCUCCCUCAGAUUUUGCCCAGUUUGUUUGCACUACUCUAGGUUUUAAUAUGUAAUAUGAUAAAAUAAAUGCAAACAUCUAAAUUUAAA